RNA transcript from Bombina bombina (fire-bellied toad), 2251 nucleotides. It is a transcript of the gene named homeobox protein Meis2-like, with no coding region annotated. NCBI's taxonomy places the organism in Eukaryota, Metazoa, Chordata, Amphibia, Anura, Bombinatoridae. The transcript has 4 exons. The record is from RefSeq and is a predicted model, not a curated record.
AAAGUUGUGAAUUAGUCCCCAAACAAAAUAUAUGAAUUGUACUAUUUUACAAGUAUAUUUCCUUGUAUUAGAGAUGCUUUCUCCUUCCCAAUGUACAGUUUUCCCUGUAGAAUUGAAAAUAGGAAAGAAGAUAUACCGUUUUUUAGCAAACCUUGCUAAUUCCCUCAUGCCAACAUUAAAUGGAAACGUCCAACUGUGGUAAAAGCAGGCAUACAUAAAUCAACUCGGAAUCCCCACUCGUAAUUUAAGGUCACUGGGGUUACAUUGGUUGUAGAGCAGUUAUAACUGCAUGUAGACACUCUGACUAAACCACAACUGUCCUGUUCUUCAUUAGGAUCAAACUCAAGAGUAGAAUGAAUUGUUUAUGAGUAAUUGUUUAUGUAACUUUUUUUUUUUUCUUCAUAGGUUUAUAAAUGCAAGAAGAAGAAUAGUCCAGCCAAUGAUAGACCAGUCUAAUCGAGCAGGCAAGUCCCCAAUAGUAACUGUAUUCAAGUCACGCAGGCGAAAACCAUCCUCAAGCCAUUCACCGGGAGGUCUGUUACCUGUAAGUCAAGGAACACCAUAUAAUCCAGAUGGACAACCAAUGGGAGGUUUUGUAAUGGAUGGCCAGCAACACAUGGGUAUCAGGGCGCCAGGACCUAUGAGUGGAAUGGGCAUGAAUAUGGGCAUGGAGGGGCAAUGGCACUACAUGUAAUCUUCACCUAGUUAACCAAUGGCAAAGCAAGGGGGAAGACUGCAGAGUAUGCCAGGGAAUUACAUAUCCGCAAGUGGUCCAAUGGGGAUGAGUAUGGGACAGCCAAGUUACAGCCCAUCACAGAUGCCUAUACAUCACGCUCAACUGCGUCACGGACCUUCUGUGCAUACCUACAUUCCUGGACAUCACCACCAUCCAGCAAUGAUGAUGCAUGGGGGACCACAUCACCCUGGAAUGCCAAUGUCAGCAUCUAGCCCCUCAGUACUUAAUACAGGAGACCCAACAAUGAGUGGACAUGUCAUGGACAUUCAUGCUCAGUAACUUAUGGGAAAAUGUAUUGUCUGCAAUGGCAAGUUUUGAAUACUGUCUUUCUGCUCCGACUGUGAAGUUCCAUUCUUGGCAUCGGUAUAGGACCAAGACAGAUUCUUCAUAGGGACCCAAAAAGCAGAAAACUGAAAAUCAAAUUGGGGACAUGAUAAAUAAUUAUAUAAGACAUUAUGAGAACAAAGAGUGAAAUAUUGUAAAUGAUAUUAUACUGUUAACCAUAUUAUGUUGUUUCUUAUAGAUUUUUUUAAAAAAUGUGAAAUUUUUCCACACUAUGUGUGUUGUUUCCAUAGCUCUUCAAUUCCUCCAGAAGCCUCCUUACUUAAAAAAAGCCUUACAGUUAUCCUGCAAAUGACAGAAACUGAUUAUUUGCAGGUCAUAUUAGAGCAUUAAAGUAAGUAUGUCAGGCAGAAGAAUUUUUCUUCGAUCCAAGGAUUUCAGCCAUUCACUCGUUCUCUGCAGCUUUGUCUCAGUUUUUUUUUUUCUCUUUCUGUCUGUCUCCCUGCCUCUGUCUUUUGCCUGAGGCUUGAAUUUGCAUGUCUAAUUCAUUUACUCACCAUAUUUGAAUUGGCCUGAACAGAUGUAAAUCGGGAAGGAUGGGAAAAACUGCAGUCAUCAACAACGAUUAAUCAGCUGUUGCAGGCAGUGUCUUAAGGAGACUGGUAGAAGGAGGCAUGGAAACCCAAAGGCAAUGUGUUUGGAGCCCAGUUGUCACAUCAGUGUCCGCGUGCAGCAACAGACAUAAUGUACAUCACUUCCUGUUUUAUGCAGCUGAAACAUAAACUGAAGAAAAUUUUAUUUUUAAUAUGUUGACUUUUGUUCUCAGCAAAGCAUCAGUCGUACAUGCAUUUCCAUAGUCCCACCAUGGAACAUUUAUGUAUACAUUGUAAAUAAAUUUUGUGCAAAAAGGACUGGAAAAAUAACUGUAUUGUUGCAAUUUUUUUUUGUAUAAGUAGCUAUUUGGUAUGAGUUGGCAUGCAGAUUUAUGAAGUGGGAUAAGCUAAUCCAUACAAUACUUUUUUUGUUGUGCUAAAACAAAUGCUUGUUGAUAAAGUUUUUCUAUCAAGAAACAAAGGAACUGAUAGUUAUUAAUAACCAUUGCACACUCAGUCUUAGAGAUUCUGAUUAAAAAAACAAAAAAACGUUUGGAUUGUAUACCUCAGAGCUCAGUUGUAUGACUUUGAGUGAAAUAAUGAAAUCUGAUCCUAAAAUAAAAACAAAUUAUUUUUUUUA